Molecule: long non-coding RNA, 820 nt
Organism: Parasteatoda tepidariorum (common house spider)
Lineage: Eukaryota; Metazoa; Arthropoda; Arachnida; Araneae; Theridiidae
Source: RefSeq, a predicted model, not a curated record
GGUAAAUCUUUCCGGUGAAUGCAUCAGAACAGGAAGAGCUUAGCUCUGCGAUUCUAAAUAUAUUUUCCACGUGACCUUUAAAAGAUUAUUCCUUGAUGUCGAAAGUACAGAUUUCUUGUAGCGAAAGUAUUGUGAAUGUAUGCCUUCUUCAAAAUCAGAUGAAAGUAAACAACCAGAAUAUGCAUAUUGCUGGAAAAAGAAUUUAAAUGAAAUUGUUUUUCAAUAAACAAAGAAGAUACAUAUAUUUUAGGUUGAGAUUGAUAAAGCAGCCAUUUCAAAAUCUCUCAAUAUAUUUGCUGCAUUCUUAGAAGAAGGAUUGACAAGCUGCUUUGAAACACCAAAGGGGUUGGAUAAAUCAACCACGAUUCAGUUCAAUGAGGACAAAAAGAGUGAUUGAUGUUUCCUUUUACUUCUUUCUUCUACAUUAUUUCGAGCAUAAUGGCUUGUCGCCAACACAUUUUACAAGACGAACCCAACUGAAAAUACCCGGUUACUUUCUGGGUACAAAGGUGUGAAUGGAAGACUAUCAUAGUUGUUCUCCUUUUUUAUGUCGUCAAAGGAAGAAAAAAUGGUGAGGCCAUAAAUCUGUGUACUUAGACAUUUUUUCUUGAGCUUGCAAGAAAGCAACUUACUUCAAUGUCGAUGAAAUGUAAGAAUAGAAGAAUAUCUAUUUCAAAAAUUCCCAUAAUGAAGUUUUUGCAAAAUUAAAUCACAUUUAAUUAUUACAUGUUGUAUAUUUUUAACUUUAUAUUAAUUUACAUAUUCUGUAUGUACGUUUAUACGAGUAAAAGUUGUAAGAGUGUAUCUAAAUAUAUAAGAA